This is a non-coding RNA of Aegilops tauschii subsp. strangulata, 2100 nucleotides long. The record is from RefSeq and is a predicted model, not a curated record. Lineage: Eukaryota; Viridiplantae; Streptophyta; Magnoliopsida; Poales; Poaceae.
CUCAAGGUAUAUACAAUGAACACACAAAGGGGUCCACAUGCAAUUAUCUAAUUAUUGGAUGCAUCAGAUUAACGUGCUGAAUGAAUCACAUGUGUAUACUUGAGACAAAUGAAUGUAUUAAUGGUUAGUAAUUUUUUUAUCUAUCCUUUUUACAUGUCCUCGAGGGUGACCAUAGUAGCAUCUUGAGCCCAAAUACAGUCCUGCCAUCUAACACCGCCUGUAAUUUUUUAGCUACAGGAAUUUGGACCGUCCUGCAAGAAGAAUCAGUUGAGAAGAUUGGACUAUGCUACUUCUCUAAGGCUGAGUAUACACUCUUUGUUGUUAAUUGUAGUGAUAGUUACUAUUAUUGAAUUGCUAAGGUGACAAACUGACAGUUAUUGCUUGAUGAGCUUACUCUUGUUCAUCACAUUGCAUCCCUCUUACACGGGAAUCAUCAAAUGUUCACACAUAUGUAUGUCCUUUAGUUUUCAUUUGCUCUUUUUUAUUUUUUCUUCCCCUUUUUGUGUGGAUAAUCCAAUUUCUUAUGUUGUCAAUGGAUCUUAAACAUCUUCACUUCUGAUUUCUAUUUCAAACAGACAGUGCAGCUUUGACGGCCUCUUAUUUCAUGCCGACAAGUGUAUUUUGUUCCAUUAGAAAUAUAUAACUAUAUUUUAUUCCUGAGAGAGCAAUCUUAUACGGGAAUAUAGUGUUGUAUUUUGUGCACCCUCAUUUGGCAAGAGUUCAGGUUACUAUUUUGUCUCUGUGUGAAAGUUCUCACAUUAGUUCAUGCAGAAUAUGUCUAUAUUUUUACCAAGGGGUUCCAAUGAUUCGAGGACUGCAUAUGUGCAGAUCUAGAAACUCUUUCUUCCCAAGAUGGGCAAUGUGCAGAUCUAGAAAUGGUAUGUCCCCUAUGCGUGUAUGACUGUUGGUGGAGAUGUUCAUACUUUAGGAUCUUUGGUUCCUGAGUUAGUGAGGUGCAUGCUCUCGACCCUGACAUCUACUUACUCUAUUGUCAUCUAUAGUCUGUAUUGUGCUCUGCGCUUAAUGUGCAUUGGGUGCAUAGCAGAACAUGAAUUUCAGAUGCCCUUAUUUGUUUGAUGAAAUGCCUCCUUGAUCUGCAUGCCAGGUAUUAUAGCAUACUGUAUAUGGCUUCUAAGCUCUUUGAAAGUUUAGGACACAAUAGGAAGUCAUAUUACAGCGGUUUCCGAUUAAUAACAAAGCUGAAAGCACAAUCUCUAUUUUUCGAGGACAGCAAAAUUGUUUUCUAGAACUGAUAGUUUCUUCGGUAUUUUUUUGUUUGCUUUCUGUUACUUUAUAACUGAAUAUGAAUAUGCAGUUAGCUUAUUUUUCUUUUAUGUGAUAUGUGAGUAAAUAGCAGUUAGCUGCAUGGGUUACUGUGGUUUCAAGCUCAACUUUUGUGUUAUCUAGCUGCAGUGCUAGGACUGGUUGUUUCCCAAAGAGAUGAUAUGACCAUGAGUUUAUGGCCUUUUUGAGCUUGAUGUCUUCUGUAUAAGAGAAAUGAAGUCUUCGGCAUGUACACUGUGUAAACAAUCAUUGGAAAGGCGAGAGGAAGAUAAGAGGAGCAUAUAGAAGUUUGUGAUUUGUAUAGGAGGCCUUGUUGGUUUGUGAAACAAUGACUAUCCUAGCACAAGAUCUAAUCAUGGAAAUUUCCUUAUUGUACAGUUUUCCAUUUUGAAAUAGUAGACCUUUCUCCAUUGUUGAGAUGUUGAUAGGACAAGUUUUCAUUGCUUAUCUUACCAGGACUAAGAUUAGCCUGGAGAAAGUGUGGCUUGCAUGCCAUGUCAUACACAAAUUAUUAAAUUUUCGUUCUUUAUUUUUUGUUCAUGAAUGUUGCACUCCUGGAGGUGAGACUCAGAAUGGGUGCAUAAUGGUCCUGGCUACCGGAGAACUCUUCAAGCUCGUGGUGCGUGCUGUAACUCCCACUGUGGCGCUGUAGUCGAGCCCAUCAAUUCAAAUUCUGAAGAUAACAUGUAGCCUGAAUCCAAGAGGGAACAAAUCCAGUUGUUCCAAGACGCGUUCUUUUUUGUAUAUCUUGUUGACAGUUUGCAUCUCUGCCAUGUUCACUUGGACAAUGCAUAUAUGUAUUACAAGUCCUUCCAA